CCCGCCCACCCGCGGAGCAGCCAGUGAGGGUGCACUCGGCGGGCCCGCGCGGCACCUGCAGAGCGCCUCCCCUGAGCGAGUCCUCCCGGCCCGCGCGCCGCCCCUGGCCGUGCCCUAAAUCCCUCUCCUCGGACACGGAGCGACCCCAGGGCAGUCCGUGUUCGCCUUUGUCGGCAGCCCUGCACAGAGCUCACGUUGUCUACAAAAUUGCCAGUUCGGGGGUUCUUUGAGUCCCAGUACACAACUUAGGGAAACUUGGUGUUGCAGUGGAACGUGGCCUUCGCCCCCUCUUUCGUGGGUGUGUUUCCUGUGGCGUACGGAGGGGCUAUUCAUUUACGGUCUUGGUGUCCGAAAUUUCAGCUGCUUCCGGCGAUCGUGCCAGGUUGCAGUGGCCGUGGCACGCCGCCAGAAGACGAUCGUCCGGGUCCGGGACAUCCCUCCCCCCGCUAGCGUCCCGAUCGCGCAGCUCUUGCUGCGGCCGCACCCGCGCGUCCGGGCCGGCGGCGAGCGGCAGACAAAGGCCUGCCGUCGGGGCCUCGGUCUCAGCGUCGGGAGACAGACGACGACAGUACGCGAUAGAUUUCAGAGAGAAGCCUGUGGAAGUUACGGGCCCUGGGACUCAGAGAUGAAGCAGAUGCAGCGGGAGAGACAAGAGACCUGGGACCGGCUGCCCUCGGUGUUUUGCGCGCCAGGGGAGAAGGGUUUCCCGGCCCCGAGACGGCACGUGCUCAGAGGGAGCAGCGCGCGGUGCAGGCCGCCGGGGGGUGGCCGUGCACUCGUGGAGCAGGUCCAAGGCAGCUGCACCUGCGGGCCUGGAGCGCACGGGGAAGUCGGGGCCUGGAGGAAUAAUCUCUGAGAGAAGAAGCGCCAUCCUCCUGCUGUCUGUGAGUCAUGAAGCUGAAGCCAGUGAAUAAAACAUGGUUUUUGUAGAUGAAAUCUGUGCUCGUGGUUUAAUCGCUGGACGUUGUAGCCGAGAAAGCCAUGUCCCCGGAGCGUCUGUCUGCACCACAGCUGACUUUUCCCAGGGAUGGUGAUCGACCUUAGGAUGGAGCUGUCUUACCGGUCGUGGUUCCCGCAGAACCUGGCAGAGUCCUGGCCCAGAGUGGGCGCUCAGUGACUACUAGAUGAAUGGCACCGUGGGGUGUGGUCCACAGACCCUGAGGAAAAGACUGCCCUGGAAAACUGCCCCCUCUGGAGACCAAACGUGUGACUGACAAAACCUGAGGUUGCUCAGUGCUUAUCCCCUCCUGGCUAAGACCAGAGGCUCCCCCAACUGUAUUCUCGUCAACUUACAGCUUUGAUUUUAAUUCAAAAAUGUCAAGUUACUAGUCUUUCUUUUUUUGGUGAGGAAGAUUGUCACUGAGCUAACAUCUGUGCCCAUCUUCCUCUGUUUUGUAUGUGGGACACCGCCAUGGCUUGAUCAGCAGUGUGUAGGUCUGCACCCAGGAUCCAAACCCGUGAACCCUAGGCCGUUGAAGUGGAGCUCCCGAACUUAACCACUAUGCCACUGGGCCAACCACUAUGCCACCAGGCCAGCCGCUAAGUUAUGAUUCUUACAGUCGCCAUCUCUUCCUGCUGAAGCGCAUCCUUGAGUAGCCCUCUUGGGGAAGGUCUGUGGGUUGCAAACUCUGUCUGUG
This is a long non-coding RNA of Equus caballus (horse), 1637 nucleotides long. Lineage: Eukaryota; Metazoa; Chordata; Mammalia; Perissodactyla; Equidae. The record is from Ensembl.